CAGCGCCGGGCGGGGGGGGAGCGGGGCGGGCGGCCGGGCGCUGCCGCCGUCUCCCUGCCGCUGCCGUAACGUCCUGACGCUCCGCAGGGACCCGCUGGCCGGACGAUACAGACUAACACGGCUGCUACUCUGAAACAUUCCAUUGCCUGUGACUUCGGGUGCAGGAGCUGGUUUACUGGACUUCCUGGAUGUUUUCUUAGAUCCUGUCCUUGUAAGACAUUGACCUUCAAAUACUGUUGAAGUUAAUAGGCACCCAGUGGCAUGAGGCCUUCCCUUGUAUCCCAGGAUGGAGGUGCCUUUCCAAGGAGAUUUGAGCGGGUAUAAAGUGCAACGUUUUGGAAUGAGGUUGCUUUUUUUUAAAAAAGAAAUUUUUUUUAGGUAAAAGCUACUUCUGCUGAGCUGAGUAAGGGCCAAUGCUAAAAGAUGUUUGUAGGUUUCCCAGAAUUUUAACCCUUUUUUUUGACAACUGACUGCUGAGUUUUUGAUCCUUCUCUCCUCAUGAAAGGGCUUUGAACUCUUCACUUCCCCUAGGAUUAGGUAAAAUAAUGGUGUUAUCUGCAUUGAAGUGUUUAAUUAGUUAGUUUUUCUCCUGGAGAAUGUAGUUAAAUUACAGAUCUGUGAGCUGUCUUUAAGGAUGGGCAAUAAUUACUAUUUAGUUUAACAAAAACCUAGAUUCCAUACUCUAUCUUUGAGCCAGUUUUAUAUUCUGCUGAGUUAUUAUUUUCCCAACAAGAACAGAAGCCGUGGAAGAUUAAAAUAAAUUGGGUGUAUUAAGAGAAAUGGAGGCAUGUGGUUUCAUACCAAGUUUAUUUCUUUUUGUUUUUCAUAAUCACUUCUUUUGCACAACAACAACCUCAAGUUGACAAUUAAAUGCA
Non-coding RNA from Caretta caretta (loggerhead turtle), 875 nucleotides. The record is from RefSeq and is a predicted model, not a curated record. Lineage: Eukaryota; Metazoa; Chordata; Testudines; Cheloniidae.